UGAUUUGAAAGGCGCUUUCGGGUGUCGCUGAUGGAUGGACCCGCGGUGCAUUAGCUAGUUGGUGAGGUAACGGCUCACCAAGGCCACGAUGCAUAGCCGACCUGAGAGGGUGAUCGGCCACAUUGGGACUGAGACACGGCCCAAACUCCUACGGGAGGCAGCAGUAGGGAAUCUUCGGCAAUGGACGAAAGUCUGACCGAGCAACGCCGCGUGAGUGAAGAAGGUUUUCGGAUCGUAAAACUCUGUUGUUAGAGAAGAACAAGGAUGAGAGUAACUGUUCAUCCCUUGACGGUAUCUAACCAGAAAGCCACGGCUAACUACGUGCCAGCAGCCGCGGUAAUACGUAGGUGGCAAGCGUUGUCCGGAUUUAUUGGGCGUAAAGCGAGCGCAGGCGGUUUCUUAAGUCUGAUGUGAAAGCCCCCGGCUCAACCGGGGAGGGUCAUUGGAAACUGGGAGACUUGAGUGCAGAAGAGGAGAGUGGAAUUCCAUGUGUAGCGGUGAAAUGCGUAGAUAUAUGGAGG
This 521-nucleotide ribosomal RNA is filed under the name uncultured Bacilli bacterium. RNAcentral's name for it is "bacterial SSU rRNA". It matches the Rfam family "Bacterial small subunit ribosomal RNA", at positions 196 to 704 of the family's 1533-position model. The record is from RNAcentral. Lineage: Bacteria; Bacillati; Bacillota; Bacilli.